This 481-nucleotide ribosomal RNA is filed under the name uncultured bacterium. RNAcentral describes it as "bacterial SSU rRNA". It matches the Rfam family "Bacterial small subunit ribosomal RNA", at positions 501 to 985 of the family's 1533-position model. The record is from RNAcentral.
CUACGUGCCAGCAGCCGCGGUAAUACGGAAGGUCCGGGCGUUAUCCGGAUUUAUUGGGUUUAAAGGGAGCGUAGGCUGGAGAUUAAGUGUGUUGUGAAAUGUAGACGCUCAACGUCUGACUUGCAGCGCGAACUGUCAGACUUGAGUACACGCAACGUAUGCGGAAUUCAUGGUGUAGCGGUGAAAUGCUUAGAUAUCAUGAAGAACUCCGAUUGCGAAGGCAGCAUACGGGAGUGUAACUGACGCUUAAGCUCGAAGGUGCGGGUAUCGAACAGGAUUAGAUACCCUGGUAGUCCGCACAGUAAACGAUGGAUGCCCGCUGUUAGCGCCUGGCGUUAGCGGCUAAGCGAAAGCAUUAAGCAUCCCACCUGGGGAGUACGCCGGCAACGGUGAAACUCAAAGGAAUUGACGGGGGCCCGCACAAGCGGAGGAACAUGUGGUUUAAUUCGAUGAUACGCGAGGAACCUUACCCGGGCUUGAA